CUCUGCGCAAGGGAUCUUUUGGUUCGCUAGACGAAGAAGGGCGCAGCGGAAUGCGAAAUGUGCAGGAGCAGCAGCGAAGAUAGCACAUGCCUGAAAUCACGAGAGUGAGACUACCCCUUUGAAUUAAGCAUAUGAGUAAAGGGAGGAAAAGAAACUAACAAGGAUUCCUGUAGUAGCGGCGAGCGAAGAAGGAACAGCCCCGAGUGUAAUCACCUAUAAUUAAUAUAGAGUGAGAUGUC
Molecule: ribosomal RNA, 239 nt
Filed under: Loma wallae
Lineage: Eukaryota; Fungi; Microsporidia; Glugeidae
Description: partial large subunit ribosomal RNA
Rfam family: Eukaryotic large subunit ribosomal RNA (bases 92-239)
Source: RNAcentral